AUUGAACGCUGGCGGAAUGCUUUACACAUGCAAGUCGGAACGGUAGAGGGGGCAACCCCUUUGAGAGUGGCGAACGGGUGAGUAAUAUAUCGGAACGUGCCCAGUCGUGGGGAUAACGUAGCGAAAGUUACGCUAAAUACCGCAUACGAUCUAAGGAUGAAAGCGGGGGAUCGCAAGACCUCGUGCGAUUGGAGCGGCCGAUAUCAGAUUAGGUAGUUGGUGAGGUAAAGGCUCACCAAGCCGACGAUCUGUAGCUGGUCUGAGAGGACGACCAGCCACACUGGGACUGAGACACGGCCCAGACUCUACGGGAGGCAGCAGUGGGGAAUUUUGGACAAUGGGCGCAAG
RNAcentral lists this ribosomal RNA (348 nucleotides) under uncultured bacterium. RNAcentral describes it as "bacterial SSU rRNA". It matches the Rfam family "Bacterial small subunit ribosomal RNA", at positions 30 to 381 of the family's 1533-position model. The record is from RNAcentral.